RNAcentral lists this ribosomal RNA (252 nucleotides) under uncultured bacterium. Its description in RNAcentral is "partial 16S ribosomal RNA". It matches the Rfam family "Bacterial small subunit ribosomal RNA", at positions 524 to 776 of the family's 1533-position model. The record is from RNAcentral.
GACGUAGGGCGCGAGCGUUGUCCGGAUUUAUUGGGCGUAAAGAGCUCGUAGGCGGCUUGUCACGUCGAUUGUGAAAGCCCGAGGCUUAACCUCGGGUCUGCAGUCGAUACGGGCUAGCUAGAGUGUGGUAGGGGAGAUCGGAAUUCCUGGUGUAGCGGUGAAAUGCGCAGAUAUCAGAAGGAACACCGGUGGCGAAGGCGGAUCUCUGGGCCACUACUGACGCUGAGAAGCGAAAGCAUGGGAGCGAACAGG